AUCUAAUUAAUUGCCUGGAUUCUUUAUUGUGAAGCAAGAUACAAUGACAAAGUCUAUGAAAUUUAUAGUUAUCACCUAAUGCAGGUUUGGGUCAGGUUGGAUUUAAGCACUUUUUUUCAAUUGUUGUUCAUAAAAAUAACAACAAAACCAAGUAUGGACUCUUUCCCUCAAGAAUGAAUAUAAAAGGAAUCUGUCACACACAAAAACAAACAAAUAAAUAACAACAGAAACCCACUAUAUCCCAGGAUGGGGAGAAGUGAUACACUGGCUUUACUUCGGCACGUAUUUGGAAGCAGUGACUUUAGACUGAAUUUAACUACCAAGAAUAAAGGAAAUUACAUUACUCUUUCAUAUUUGUUUCUACCCCAAAGUGUUAAUUGUCAUGUAAUCUGUUAUCAAUUAGGGUAGAAAAGUAGAUAUCGUGAAUCAUUAUAGCCGAAGGACUCUAAUAAAAAUUUUGCUCAGUGAAUGACUUAGAGGUAUGAGCAGUUUUAAAGAUUAGCCAACAAUAAAUCCUAGAAUAUGCAAAUAUUUAGAGAUUUCCUUUUCCUCAAGUGAUUUGGCAACAAUUUUUAUGCAAGGUCUGAAAAGAAAUAAGACAAAGAUGUGUUAAACUUUAUUUAUAGAAAAAAUGUCUAUUCAACAAAAUAGACAUUAAAAAUGUCUAUUCAGUCAAAAUAGUACCAAGUUUGGCAUUCUUACUAAUAGUAGUAGAACAAAUCCUAUAAUAGUCACAGUUUUUCUGAUGUUAUUUUUAUGGAUUUGGGGGAUAUUCAUCUAUUCAUUUUUGAAACAGGGUCUAACCACAUAGCAUAUACUGGCCUUGAACUCUUGAUGCUUCUGCCUUAGCUACCUUAGUGACAGGAUUACAGAUGUGUGCCACCGUACACUGGUGGUAGCAUUUCUCAAAAGGCCUAGAGUACUGACAGCAACAGCAGUCAUAUUUCUAGUAUCAGAAUUAUCAUGAUGGUGUCAGGUUCCUGAACACUAUCAAAAUUCUUAUACUGUAGUAAGGCAACAUAUCCUUUUCUUGGGAAAAGAACAGAAAAAAAAAGAAUAAAAAGAAUAUAAAUCUAGAAAUGUGAAUGU
Molecule: long non-coding RNA, 1089 nt
Filed under: Mus musculus (house mouse)
Lineage: Eukaryota; Metazoa; Chordata; Mammalia; Rodentia; Muridae
Description: long non-coding RNA chr4:15905974-15907063
Source: RNAcentral